AACGAACGCUGGCGGCAUGCCUAACACAUGCAAGUCGAACGAGACCUUCGGGUCUAGUGGCGCACGGGUGCUUAACGCGUGUGAACCUGCCCUUAGGUUCGGAAUAACUCCCCGAAAGGGGUUCUAAUACCGGAUAAUGUCUUCGGACCAAAGAUUUAUCUCCUUUGGAUGGGCCCGCGUUGGAUUAGCUAGUUGGUAGGGUAAAAGCCUACCAAGGCGACGAUACAUAGCUGGUCUGAGAGGAUGAUCAGCCACACUGGGACUGAGACACGGCCCAGAAGAAUACGGGAGGAAGCAGAGGGGAAUAUAAGAAAAUGGGAGAAAGAAUGAACAAGAAAUGCAGGGUGAGUGAUGAAGGCCUUAGGGUAGUAAAGAUCUUUUACAAGGGAUGAUAAUGACAGUAACGGGAGAAUAAGCACCGGCUAACUCCGUG
This 433-nucleotide ribosomal RNA is filed under the name uncultured bacterium. RNAcentral describes it as "partial 16S ribosomal RNA". It matches the Rfam family "Bacterial small subunit ribosomal RNA", at positions 29 to 507 of the family's 1533-position model. The record is from RNAcentral.